RNAcentral lists this long non-coding RNA (402 nucleotides) under Pandoravirus neocaledonia. RNAcentral's name for it is "hypothetical ncRNA". The record is from RNAcentral.
CAAAAGAAAAAAAGACCUCGUCCGUGUCUGUUUGGAAAAAAGCACUCACGCACAGCAAGGCGCAAAAUAGGCGAUGGGUCGCAAAAAAUCAAAAAAAAGGCAGAGCCAUGCCCGCGAGGCCGCGAAUGCAAGGCGCGGUAGAUGCGCGGGCCAGACCACGUCGCGCAGUAUCGGCACGGUCGGUCCGUUGGCAGAUAGCCACUGCGGCGGGUGCAGGAUCAGGUCGCAAGUAACAGAGGCUAGGCACGCGCUGCACGACGGGGCACAGACCCCACCACGAGACACUAAUCCCUGUUGCGCAGUCGCCCACACUACAGUCAUCUAGGAAAUCGCUUGUUUUGCUGCCGCUGGAUGGAUAUGCAAGCAAAAUCGAGAAAAAAAGUAAGAAAAGAAUAUAUUUUU